AUGAACGCUGGCGGCGUGCCUAAUACAUGCAAGUCGAGCGAACGGACGAGAAGCUUGCUUCUCUGAUGUUAGCGGCGGACGGGUGAGUAACACGUGGAUAACCUACCUAUAAGACUGGGAUAACUUCGGGAAACCGGAGCUAAUACCGGAUAAUAUUUUGAACCGCAUGGUUCAAAAGUGAAAGACGGUCUUGCUGUCACUUAUAGAUGGAUCCGCGCUGCAUUAGCUAGUUGGUAAGGUAACGGCUUACCAAGGCAACGAUGCAUAGCCGACCUGAGAGGGUGAUCGGCCACACUGGAACUGAGACACGGUCCAGACUCCUACGGGAGGCAGCAGUAGGGAAUCUUCCGCAAUGGGCGAAAGCCUGACGGAGCAACGCCGCGUGAGUGAUGAAGGUCUUCGGAUCGUAAAACUCUGUUAUUAGGGAAGAACAUAUGCGUAAGUAACUGUGCACAUCUUGACGGUACCUAAUCAGAAAGCCACGGCUAACUACGUG
This 496-nucleotide ribosomal RNA is filed under the name uncultured bacterium. Its description in RNAcentral is "partial 16S ribosomal RNA". It matches the Rfam family "Bacterial small subunit ribosomal RNA", at positions 29 to 507 of the family's 1533-position model. The record is from RNAcentral.